GACGAACGCUGGCGGCGUGCUUAACACAUGCAAGUCGAACGGAAAGGCCUGCUUUCCCUUGUGGAUUGCGGGUACUCGAGUGGCGAACGGGUGAGUAACACGCGAGUGAUCUGCCCCCAACUUGGGUAUAAGCCUGGGAAACUGGGUCUAAUUCCCGAUAGGACUGCAGGGUGGUGCCUGUGGUGGAAAACGAUUUUCUAGUGGUUGGGGAUGAGCUCGCGGCCUAUCAGCUUGUUGGUGGGGUAAUGGCCUACCAAGGCGGCGACGGGUAGCCGGCCUGGGAGGGUGGACGGCGACAUUGGGACUGAGAUACGGCCCAGACGCCUGCGGGAGGCAGCAGUGGGGGAUAGUGGACAAUAGGCGGGAGCCUGAAGCAGCGACGCCGCGAGGAGGAUGACGGCCUUCGAGUUGUAAACUCCUUUCGACCGCGAGGAAGCCACCUGGUUGGGAGGGUGGUGACGGUAGUGGUAGAAGAAGCACCGGCUAACUACGUG
This 494-nucleotide ribosomal RNA is filed under the name uncultured bacterium. Its description in RNAcentral is "partial 16S ribosomal RNA". It matches the Rfam family "Bacterial small subunit ribosomal RNA", at positions 28 to 507 of the family's 1533-position model. The record is from RNAcentral.